Molecule: ribosomal RNA, 467 nt
Filed under: uncultured bacterium
Lineage: Bacteria
Description: partial 16S ribosomal RNA
Rfam family: Bacterial small subunit ribosomal RNA
Source: RNAcentral
GACGAACGCUGGCGGCGUGCUUAACACAUGCAAGUCGAACGGAAAGGCCUCUUUCGGGGGGUACUCGAGUGGCGAACGGGUGAGUAACACGUGAGUAACCUGCCCUUGACUUUGGGAUAACUUCAGGAAACUGGGGCUAAUACCGGAUAGGAGCUCCUGCUGCAUGGUGGGGGUUGGAAAGUUUCGGCGGUUGGGGAUGGACUCGCGGCUUAUCAGCUUGUUGGUGGGGUAGUGGCUUACCAAGGCUUUGACGGGUAGCCGGCCUGAGAGGGUGACCGGCCACAUUGGGACUGAGAGACGGCCUAGACUCCUACGGGAGGCAGCAGUGGGGAAUAUUGCACAAUGGGUGGAAGCCUGAUGCAGCAACGCCGUGUGCGGGAUGACGGCCUUCGGGUUGUAAACCGCUUUCGCUCAUGACGAAGCUUUGUGUGACGGUAGUGGGUAAAGAAGCACCGGCUAACUACGUG